This is a long non-coding RNA of Salvia miltiorrhiza (redroot sage), 2467 nucleotides long. RefSeq lists it as uncharacterized. The transcript is spliced from 2 exons. The record is from RefSeq and is a predicted model, not a curated record. Lineage: Eukaryota; Viridiplantae; Streptophyta; Magnoliopsida; Lamiales; Lamiaceae.
UCUGCCAUUAAUAAUUUUAUUAGGUUCUCUCUGUUGCCUGUGAUCUCCACCAUUGUCUACUUCGUCCCCUUCCGUACGCCCGAGAACUCCCUCCUUGAGGUACUAGGUUCCACUCUUCUCCUUGCUUUCCCUAAUCGUUCCCAUUUUUUAUAUAAAUUUUCUUCGGUUUCCUUGAAUAUAUAUACAUACAUUCAUGUCGUUAUGGUGACUGUCGGGGCUCGUUAGCAACAAAUAAACCGAGACGAUGAUAUGAGUUGCGUCGGUUUCCCUCGAUCGACCAUUGACGCUGCUACGAUGGUCGAAAUGUGACAAAUCCUUCGCAUCCCUCCUAUUGACCCGGAGUUGAAGGUUCGGAUACAACUGCCGGACGGCGAUAUGCCAGACGCCGAUAGAGAACAAACACCCAAUACGAUUCCUAUGUGGGUGAAUCAAAUAGACGCUGGGCUUCGUUUGCCACAUUCCAAAUUUUUUGUCGAUGUUUGCGAGCGUUUCGAAAAUUUCUUUUUUCCAGAUUUCACCGUCUUCCCUUCGUCGAGCCUAUAUUCUUCAUAUCGUUUGCGCAGCUAAUAAUUAUACCGAUAGCGCAGAACUUUUUCAUAAAACCCAUAUUUUAAAAAGGAUGGGUUUCUUGGAGGGGUCUGACCUCCCUCGAUAAAAAAUUUUAUGAUAAGUAUUUUUUUGUUAAAGUAAGAAAUGGGGACUGGGCCUCUUAUGCCAGCACAGCCGAGGUGGAAUGGCAUCGCCUCUAACACCGAACUCCCUCCCCUAAAGUUCGUCUAUCCGAUACUGAGUACUAUCUGCUUGAAGCCAUAAAUUCAGCCCACACAUCAAAAGAACUUGAUGUCGUGAAACUUGUGUCUUAUCCUUCUGUUCUUGUCGGCGCAGGCCUAUUUUCCAGAUAUCCCGCCUCAGCCGUUGAUAUAAUUUUAAUUGUGAUUGCUUGAUUUUUCUCUUAUAAUUGAUGUGUAAUCGCAGGGUUUCAUCGAUCUAUUGUACCUCUAAUCAUGUCGUCCUGUGCAGGUAUGUGGAAGACAACCAAGCACGGCAAAGUUGUCGGUUUUACCUUUGUUCACUCUCUCCUACAAGGAGAAUCUAAAGCUGCACAGGCGGGAGUCUGCACCGUCCAACGGGUCGACCCAGAAUCUUUUGAUCCAGGGCAGCCUCGUUUUUCCUCAGCCGCUCAAGAUCCUCAUCACCUCCAUCUCAUGGACGAAGAGGAAGCCUCUGAUGACGAUGUCUCUCUUCUGGACAGUAAACGCCGGAAGACCCGGAAGACUCCCUCUUCCAGUUAUAAGAAGAAAAAAGAAAGCUGCACCGGCUGUGCAGGUGGUCCUCGAGGAGGGUGAUUCCUCCUUCGAAGAGCUUCUCACCAGCCACUCUCAUCCUUCCAAGAAGAAAUCUGGUGGUGAUGUCCUCGAGUUGGGGCCUCCCAGUCCUCGUGCUCUUCAAGACUUGAUCGGCGCAGAGUGCCUCCCGCCAUCUGGUAAGGGCGGCGUCUACCCUCCAAGCUAAGGAGCGGGAUCUUCUAGCGGCGCUGGGAAAAUGCACCGAUAUGGAGGAGGAACUACGCCAGUCAAAGACGGAGAAUGCUAGGGUGAUAGCGGAGAGGGAUUCUCUUAGUACUGAGCUGGAGAGAGUGACUAAGAGCAAGGCUGAGGAAUUUGAUGCUCUCCACCAUUCUCCAUCUGAGGAAUUUGGAGAGCGUCUGAACAGACUAAAGGAAGCCAUCGUGGAAAGGGAGAACCAAGCUUUCGCACACAUUAGAAGCUUUCUGUCAAACUCCCGAGGUGCUGUGGGUGUUGGGUCCGGGCAUGAAGUUCUUGGUAGUGGAUGCAUGCCGCAUCCUGCUGGACCUUGUUGAUGCUACUUCUGAGCAGCGCAGCCGAUAUACUCCACAGGAGGUCGUUGAUAAGAUAAACGACAAGGAGCUUGACCAGCUACUCGGCAUCAAUUCUGCGGCACCCCAGACACCCGAGGUGGUGGGUGCCUGUGCUGGACAAAGCUCUGCGCUUAUUUAUUGACAGCGUAUGCGAUCACCCUAAACUCAUGCAGUCUUUUGUUCGAACUCCCCUCCUUGAUCGCCUCCGCCACAAUGUUGUCCGCUCUCCUCGUGGAAAUUAUCCUGGCGGAAGUAUCUUCUAUCCUCCUCCCCCUGCUGUGGCCCCUACGAGAGUGCCUGAAUCUACGCAUGCUCCUGACAUCCCAGCUCGGGCAGUUCUGGGCCAUGCUCCAGUGGAUGAUCAACGCAGCACGGCAGAGGAGGAGAUAGUCGUGGACAAUCCUCCUCAUCCCCGCCCUUGAUGUUGAAGACCUAAUUCUCAUUGUAGUUUAAACUGGUUCUGCUGAUGUAACUCUUAGACUUUCAGAAAACUUAGUAGUUGGUUUGUUAAACAAUUUCCUUAUUUUGUACUAGUGGAUUUGUGAUGUUUGUCAAUUCUACUAUGAUCUUAAUGUUUUGAAAUCCUUA